RNAcentral lists this ribosomal RNA (465 nucleotides) under uncultured bacterium. Its description in RNAcentral is "partial 16S ribosomal RNA". It matches the Rfam family "Bacterial small subunit ribosomal RNA", at positions 28 to 507 of the family's 1533-position model. The record is from RNAcentral.
GACGAACGCUGGCGGCGUGCUUAACACAUGCAAGUCGAACGGAAAGGCCCUGCUUGCAGGGUACUCGAGUGGCGAACGGGUGAGUAACACGUGGGUGAUCUGCCCUGCACUUCGGGAUAAGCCUGGGAAACUGGGUCUAAUACCGGAUAGGAGCCAUUUUUAGUGUGAUGGUUGGAAAGUUUUUUCGGUGUAGGGUGAGCUCGCGGCCUAUCAGCUUGUUGGUGGGGUAAUGGCCUACCAAGGCGGCGACGGGUAGCCGGCCUGAGAGGGUGGACGGCCACAUUGGGACUGAGAUACGGCCCAGACUCCUACGGGAGGCAGCAGUGGGGAAUAUUGCACAAUGGGCGCAAGCCUGAUGCGGCGACGCCGCGUGGGGGAUGACGGCCUUCGGGUUGUAAACUCCUUUCGCUAGGGACGAAGCUUUUUGUGACGGUACCUAGAGAAGAAGCACCGGCUAACUACGUG